Non-coding RNA from Pimephales promelas (fathead minnow), 1398 nucleotides. The record is from RefSeq and is a predicted model, not a curated record. NCBI's taxonomy places the organism in Eukaryota, Metazoa, Chordata, Actinopteri, Cypriniformes, Leuciscidae.
UCUGAAUCAGGUUAUCCUCUGACAGAUAAUGGAUGUAGCCGGUAUCUAAGCAUGCUCCCCAAAGCCAGCUCAAUCCCUCCAACAAGAUAAAGCCGACAAAUUACGCCACCUGGAAAAAACACAACUCUGAAGCCAAACACAGCCGGAGAGAGAGAGGGCGAGCGAGAGAGAGGUGGCAAGGAUGUAAAGAAAGAGAGAACACAGAAGAAAGAAAGUCAAAUGGGUUGGAACGACACAAGGAGGAUUGUUUCCGGAAAGAUCUGGAGCAGGUCCGCUGUGACAUAAUCACUCAAGGAGCAUUUGGUCUAACCUUCACAAACGGCGCCGUUCAUCCAUUCAGAGCCUGGCGUUUGGGUGAGAAAUAGCAGGACCGGGGUUCAGUGCGGGACCUCAUGAGGCGAUGAAGCAAUACGUUUCCAUCUUUCUGAAGGUCACCUGACCUACAUGUGUGCCGGUUCGUACAGCUUUAUCAGUGUCACUCCUUAAGUAAAUGCACAUAUCUUAGUCCUAAUAACAAAUAUUCCAACAUUAUCAGGGAUGUGUUUAAAGGCAUGAAAUCAAAACUGACUUUACUUGGUUUGCUAAUUAUGUUCGUGCCGUUUACUCUGUCUCUAAAUGGUUUUGAUUUGAAUCGUUGUACACAUACACAUGCGGAUGCCGUUUCAUGUUGUCUUCAUGCUUCUGAACAUUUUACGGUAUUGCCGAGAUAUUCUUGAAAUAGUGAUAAAUAAUAUAGGAGAGCACUCACACGUCGGUUCACAUGAGUGCUACAGAUGCAGCUGACCUAGAAAGACAGAAAAAACACAGGACAAAAAAAGACAAAGGGUCACUUUAUGCUUUAUCUUCACCAUGUUGAAAGUCAUAAGACCAUAUCCUUUACUUGAACCAAUACAUAAAUAAUAAUACGCAAGCUAAAUCUUCCAUCCACUUAGACUGACUGAUUGACUAAUGCUUCUUUCCAGCCCUCUAGAAAUCAUAAUUACACCAUGAUGUGUGUUCGAAUGAUUUUUGCAUGCUUUUACUCGAUUAUGUACUUCUCAAGGCAUGCAGGACACAUUUUAGCUCUAAUCUAACAUCAUGAAGAGCAAAGGAUGUGCAUUAGUUGAGUAAUUGAUGUAUUUUGUCAUUCUUGGUGUCACAGAGAAUGAUGGGAAAUGUAGUUUCCACAUUAAUGAUCAGCUAAAUUGGUGUUUUCUGGCAAUAUUACUCAAAAUGUGUACUGCCAACAUUCUUUUAUGAUCAAUAUCAAUUGUCUUUCAUCAUAAAUCGGUAACUGACAUGCCUCUGACGAUCAUUCCCAUCACGAUCGUGAUGUUUUGAAGCAUUGGCACUGUCUGCAGAUUGUGUUUUAGUACGGUUUCCACAAAAAUAUGACUGUUUUCAACAUUGAUGGUAAUC